CUCAAUUAUAUUACUUGAACACUCAUUGUUUAUUGGAAUACUGAAUAGUCUUUUGUACUUCCAAUUCAUGACACGUUUUGUUCUUACUUUCCCAAUCAAUUUAUUUCCAACUUCUUCUACCUCAUUUCCUAAUUUUCUCUUCCCUUCAUUUGUUCUUCAUCUACCUCAUUUCCUAUUUUUCUCUUCCUUUCAUUUGCUCUUCAUUCUCGGAUCCGCAAUCGUUCAUAUUCUCUCCCAAUUUUCAAAAUCCAAAAUCUCCGAUUUCGAUUUCCAACUUCUGCAUAUCCACAGAUGUAUUGCAAUCGAUUCAGUUUUUAAAUCAAAAGACAAUUCAUUUGAGAUAUGUUUUCUGCAAAUACUUAUAUUUGCAUAAUGCUGUUACAAUUCGUUUCAGUUCCUACAACUGUCACAUAAUCCUAUUGGGUUUUCAAUUGAAAAGGUGAGGCUGUGUUGCAUUAACAAUAUUUCAAUUUCAAAGUUAAAAAGAGUUUUAGGUCUCUGAGUUUCUUGAUGUUAAUCAUUUUUUACGGUCCUGGCUGAAACCGUCGUUGUCGUCGCCAUCGAAGUUGAUCUCAAUCAAAUCAAAGUCAAGCUCUUCAACAGAUAAAGCUUCGACGAUGUUCAGCUUAAUGAUGUGCCUCUUGGAGAUUACAUCGGAGUUCAAUAGUCCAAGAAUGCUACAUAUGUGCCUCACACUGCAUGUAGGUACUAAGUGAGGCAUGCCAUGGAAAUCUUUCACUUGCUAACUGAAAAUGAGGAUUUAUUGAUUUCUUAUUGGUUUGAUUUCCUGGAUGAUGGCAUUUUUGUAAUAGCUUUUGGAGUGGUUUUAUUUGAACUCAUUACUGGAAGAAAACCAAUUUAAACCAAAAGAUUUCCAUGAGAAGAGAAUUUAGUAUUACGGCCAUAUUAUCUGAAGAGUGGCAACACAACUACAAGGCAGACUGGAGGUUCCCUUGCUUCCUCAACAAAAUCACUGGCGUCCUAGAUCAUGGACUUGAUGUUUGGAUUCUAUAUCAAACUUUAUCAUCCUUCCUAUUUUAUUAUAAGCAAUAUUUUUACUCGGUUAUUCAUACUCUCUAAAGAGGUUCGGCGUAUUAUGUUUUUUUGGAUUUGAGUUGGAAUAUUUACUCAUUGGCAUCUUAGCAUUGUGAUCUUAUGAUCGGUUACUUAGUUUUGUGUUUGUUGGAUUUGAGUUGGAGUAUUUACUCAUUUAAUUGAAUUCUAUGGCAUCUUAGCAUUGUGAUCUUAUGAAUGGCUACUUGGUUGGCAAAUGUUUUGAGAAAGGUUCAUAAUUUAUGGA
Long non-coding RNA from Vicia villosa (hairy vetch), 1300 nucleotides. RefSeq lists it as uncharacterized. The transcript is spliced from 7 exons. The record is from RefSeq and is a predicted model, not a curated record. Lineage: Eukaryota; Viridiplantae; Streptophyta; Magnoliopsida; Fabales; Fabaceae.